GCUAAGAAAAACUUGUGUAUCAAUUAUGAAUGCGAAGUUUAAGAACUAUUGACUAAGCCUGGGUACUGAGAAGUAAAGAUCAGACGUGCAUACAAAAUCCCAAAACAGCUAUCAAAUAGCUUUAAUGAACCUCAGAUGGUUUUGUUGAAACCCAACAAGUGCUUCCUCUUUAUCACGGAAAUAUGGACAUGACCCUAAUUAAUCAACUAAUUAUAUUCGCCCAUUUCCACCACUCUCAACCUGUGACCUACUGUCUGUUGCCCCAGUCCUCCUUGGCCAUGGUGCACAGAAGUGAUGGAUGGGGCCACUGUUUUCCUGCCACGGAGUUAACUGAAUCUAGUUUAGUGCUAUCUUGAACGCCCCAGGCUUUGUGACACUUGAAAUUCUAAUUAGUGCAGAAAAGGGCUAAGUUGAAACAGCUUGGACUCCCUCAAGUAUACCCACUCUCAGGGCCCUAUAAUCUAAUGAGAUCUAUGAAAUUUAAGAUCUAGCAGAGAAAUCCCUGCCUACAGCAACAGCUGUACCCAGGAUGACGACAAGGGGAUUUGGGUUAAAUUAGGGGCUCCAGAUAGCAGGGAGAGUAUCCCCAAACGAUCUGGGAGGGAGACCCACAUGACUCGGAUCCCACUCGUUGUGGUGUGACUUAGAAUUAGCUAGAUUGGCCCAUGGCUCUGGGUUGUGGCAUGUCAAAGAAAAAGCAGGAGGGGUUAUGGCUACACAGAUGGGAGAACUUAGUCCCUACAAGGUGUGGUAGAGCAGGUGAGGGCAGCUGGGGCCAGAGAGAAUCUCUCAAGGGCACUCCCUCUUGUAGGCAGUAGAGAUGGAGGAGAGGAAGAGACCCGUGACUCCUGAAAGAGCCCCCACAAAGGAAAAGGAAGUUCCUUUGCUAUUAACUACUUUGCAGUAGGAGCAGGCUGAAUGUUUGCCGAACACAUUUGGAAGAGGAAGAGAGGAGAUAAUCGUCCUAAUGAAUGUGCAGGAGACAAUAGCAGCUCCAG
This 998-nucleotide long non-coding RNA is filed under the name Lynx pardinus (Iberian lynx). Lineage: Eukaryota; Metazoa; Chordata; Mammalia; Carnivora; Felidae. The record is from RNAcentral.